This 1366-nucleotide long non-coding RNA is filed under the name Capra hircus (goat). Its description in RNAcentral is "lncRNA (ENSCHIG00010012536.1)". The record is from RNAcentral. Lineage: Eukaryota; Metazoa; Chordata; Mammalia; Artiodactyla; Bovidae.
CUAUGGGAUCGCACAGAGUCGGACACGACUGAAGCGACUUAGCAGCAGCUACUCCAAAAGACUCGUGAAUCCAGGUGAUUACUGACCUCCCACCUUUGAAGUCUCCUCCUCCCUGUUAAUUUUCAUUUCCCAGCGUUGACGCCUGGCUCUCCAAGGCUGGGGACCGCCCAGACUCUAUGCCUGUGCGCUGGGGCAGCCUCUGGGGGUGCCUCCCGCCUCAGGGCCCGGACCCCAGUGGCGACCGUGCUGGUUGUCCAGCCCCCACCAACGGGGCCCCCGCCAGGCCGAGCUCACCCCCUGAGGAAGUCCCAGGGCAGAGCAGCGACACCACCGGCCCCGGCUCCAUGGGAGGAGGUCUCUGGGCUGGGGUCCCGGGCUUUGGGAAUUCACCCCCUUUGUUUGCAUUUCAUUAACUGCAUAUGAGAAGCAGGUGAAAGCAAUUUAUGCAAAUCCUCUUUUCAACAGUGUCAGACUUUUUACCUUUUGAUAACAGCAGCCUGCCCGGGGGGGAGGGGGGCCGCAGACCAGCACAUUUUGAGGCCCAGUUUAAAAUUUGAGCUCCCUCCCCCCACCACUUCUUCAAAGCCUUCUCUGAGGAUAAGAUAAGAGUGUAAUCCCUUAGUUUGGUACAAAUGUUUAAGACUCUGUGUCUCUAAAAUCCAAUUUGAGUUAGCCUUGUACUUUAAAGCCCUUUCGUCGGCUGAACUGAGAGACGCGUUUGUGACACGUUUAAUGGACAGCACUGUGCGGCCUCCAUCCCCCACUGACCCCGCCAGGUCGCGGGGAAGAUGGGCCAGGGGCCAGCGUCAUGGCUCCAGAAAGCGGCAGCCCCGUCUCUUUUCAGCAGAGACUUGGCCAAGUUCCCUCCCUGGGGCUUGAAGACCCUGACAACAUCAGAGCCGCCCGGCUCUCAGACUCGCCUGUCCCGACCUUGGCAUCCUCAGAAGGUCGCUGCACACACCCUCGAUCCUCAGGGAGGUUGGCUCAGCCCAUCCUUGCCUGGGCCCCAGGGGCCCCAGCCACCCGCGCCUCACAGGACUUCACCACGGUUCACUCCCUGGGCGCCCACGGGGUCCCAGGCACCUCACAGGAGCCAAUGUGAGGCUCAGGCGUAGACACUGAGGCCCACGGGGCAGGACGGGCCGGAGCUCAGCUGGGCAGAGGCGCCAGCGCCAGUGGGAAGACGGCCCCGCAGGCACAGCCGCUCCCAGAGACCCAGGACGCAGCCCCAAGGGUGCAGGGCCUGACCCAGGGCUUUGCUGGACUUCCAAAGCUCCUCUAUGAGUAGAACCGCUCAGUAUCUGUCCUUCUGUGACGGGCUCAUUUCACUGAGCACAAUGUCUUCAGCGUUCACCCAUGGUGUGGC